AAGGCGCUUGAGAGAACUCGGGUGAAGGAACUCGGCAAAAUUGUACCGUAACUUCGGGAGAAGGUACGCCUCUGUUUGUGAACACUUCGCGUGGUAAGCAAAUGGAGGCCGCAGUGACCAGGUGGCUGGGACUGUUUAUUAAAAACACAGCACUCUGCAAACUCGUAAGAGGACGUAUAGGGUGUGACACCUGCCCGGUGCCGGAAGGUUAAUUGAUGGGGUUAGUUUUCGGACGAAGCUCUUGAUCGAAGCCCCGGUAAACGGCGGCCGUAACAAUAACGGUCCUAAGGUAGCGAAAUUCCUUGUCGGGUAAGUUCCGACCUGCACGAAUGGCGUAACGAUCUGGGCACUGUCUCAACGAGAGACUCGGUGAAAUUGUAGUAGCGGUGUAGAUGCCGUUUACCCGCAGCUAGACGGAAAGACCCCGUGAACCUUUACUACAGCUUGGCACUGAACAUUGAACCUACAUGUGUAGGAUAGGUGGGAGGCUUUGAAGCACAGUCGCUAGAUUGUGUGGAGCCGUCCUUGAAAUACCACCCUUGUAUGUUUGAUGUUCUAACAUUGUUCCCUUAUCGGGAAUGUGGACAGUGUCUGGUGGGUAGUUUGACUGGGGCGGUCUCCUCCCAAAUAGUAACGGAGGAGCACGAAGGUUAGCUAAUCACGGUCGGACAUCGUGAGGUUAGUGCAAUGGCAUAAGCUAGCUUAACUGCGAGACAGACACGUCGAGCAGGUACGAAAGUAGGUCAUAGUGAUCCGGUGGUUCUGUAUGGAAGGGCCAUCGCUCAACGGAUAAAAGGUACUCCGGGGAUAACAGGCUGAUACCGCCCAAGAGUUCAUAUCGACGGCGGUGUUUGGCACCUCGAUGUCGGCUCAUCACAUCCUGGGGCUGAAGUCGGUCCCAAGGGUAUGGCUGUUCGCCAUUUAAAGUGGUACGCGAGCUGGGUUUAGAACGUCGUGAGACAGUUCGGUCCCUAUCUGCCGUGGGUGUAGGAUACUUGAGAGGAGUUGCCCCUAGUACGAGAGGACCGGGGUGAACGAUCCACUGGUGGACCUGUUGUUGCGCCAGCAGCAGUGCAGGGUAGCUAUGAUCGGACAGGAUAACCGCUGAAGGCAUCUAAGCGGGAAGCCCCCCUCAAAACAAGGUAUCCCUGAGGACCGUGGUAGACCACCACGUCGAUAGGCCGGAGAUGUAAGUGCAGCAAUGCAUUCAGU
Molecule: ribosomal RNA, 1212 nt
Filed under: Stygamoeba regulata
Lineage: Eukaryota; Discosea; Stygamoebida
Description: partial Bacterial large subunit ribosomal RNA
Rfam family: Bacterial large subunit ribosomal RNA
Source: RNAcentral